AUACGGAGGGGGUUAGCGUUGUUCGGAAUUACUGGGCGUAAAGCGCACGUAGGCGGACCGGAAAGUAAGAGGUGAAAUCCCAGGGCUCAACCCUGGAACUGCCUUUUAAACUAUCGGUCUAGAGUUCGAGAGAGGUGAGUGGAAUUCCUAGUGUAGAGGUGAAAUUCGUAGAUAUUAGGAGGAACACCAGUGGCGAAGGCGGCUCACUGGCUCGAUACUGACGCUGAGGUGCGAAAGCGUGGGGAGCAAACAGGAUUAGAAACCCUUGUAGUCC
This 274-nucleotide ribosomal RNA is filed under the name uncultured bacterium. RNAcentral's name for it is "partial 16S ribosomal RNA". It matches the Rfam family "Bacterial small subunit ribosomal RNA", at positions 523 to 796 of the family's 1533-position model. The record is from RNAcentral.